GCCCAGGUGGCGGAACUGGAAUACGCGUACGGUUGAGGGCCGUAUGCCGCAAGGCUUGAGGGUUCGAAUCCCUCCCUGGGCACCA
This 85-nucleotide transfer RNA is filed under the name Candidatus Sungiibacteriota bacterium. RNAcentral's name for it is "tRNA-Leu". It matches the Rfam family "tRNA". Rfam says of the family: Transfer RNA (tRNA) molecules are approximately 80 nucleotides in length. Their secondary structure includes four short double-helical elements and three loops (D, anti-codon, and T loops). Lineage: Bacteria; Candidatus Sungiibacteriota. The record is from RNAcentral.